AUAAAGUGCCUGAUUAAAGGAUUAUUUUGAUAGAAUAAAUGAAAUAAUUUUAUAUUAUCUUUAU
This 64-nucleotide transfer RNA is filed under the name Cheumatopsyche brevilineata. RNAcentral describes it as "tRNA-Ile". The record is from RNAcentral. Lineage: Eukaryota; Metazoa; Arthropoda; Insecta; Trichoptera; Hydropsychidae.